UACGAACGCUGGCGGCGUGCUUAACACAUGCAAGUCGAACGGUGAAGCUCCAGCUUGCUGGAGUGGAUCAGUGGCGAACGGGUGAGUAACACGUGAGCAACCUGCCCCUGACUCUGGAAUAAGCGCUGGAAACGGCGUCUAAUACUGGAUACGAGAAGGGUCCGCAUGGGCACUUUCUGGAAAGUUUUUCGGUUGGGGAUGGGCUCGCGGCCUAUCAGCUUGUUGGUGAGGUAAUGGCUCACCAAGGCGACGACGGGUAGCCGGCCUGAGAGGGCGACCGGCCACACUGGGACUGAGACACGGCCCAGACUCCUACGGGAGGCAGCAGUGGGGAAUAUUGCACAAUGGGCGAAAGCCUGAUGCAGCGACGCCGCGUGAGGGAUGACGGCCUUCGGGUUGUAAACCUCUUUCAGCAGGGAAGAAGCGAAAGUGACGGUACCUGCAGAAGAAGCACCGGCUAACUACGUG
Molecule: ribosomal RNA, 468 nt
Filed under: uncultured bacterium
Lineage: Bacteria
Description: partial 16S ribosomal RNA
Rfam family: Bacterial small subunit ribosomal RNA
Source: RNAcentral